Molecule: ribosomal RNA, 465 nt
Filed under: uncultured Klebsiella sp.
Lineage: Bacteria; Pseudomonadati; Pseudomonadota; Gammaproteobacteria; Enterobacterales; Enterobacteriaceae
Description: bacterial SSU rRNA
Rfam family: Bacterial small subunit ribosomal RNA
Source: RNAcentral
CCUACGGGCGGCUGCAGUGGGGAAUAUUGCACAAUGGGCGCAAGCCUGAUGCAGCCAUGCCGCGUGUGUGAAGAAGGCCUUCGGGUUGUAAAGCACUUUCAGCGGGGAGGAAGGCGGUGAGGUUAAUAACCUCAUCGAUUGACGUUACCCGCAGAAGAAGCACCGGCUAACUCCGUGCCAGCAGCCGCGGUAAUACGGAGGGUGCAAGCGUUAAUCGGAAUUACUGGGCGUAAAGCGCACGCAGGCGGUCUGUCAAGUCGGAUGUGAAAUCCCCGGGCUCAACCUGGGAACUGCAUUCGAAACUGGCAGGCUAGAGUCUUGUAGAGGGGGGUAGAAUUCCGGGUGUAGCGGUGAAAUGCGUAGAGAUCUGGAGGAAUACCGGUGGCGAAGGCGGCCCCCUGGACAAAGACUGACGCUCAGGUGCGAAAGCGUGGGGAGCAAACAGGAUUAGAUACCCUUGUAGUC